This 71-nucleotide transfer RNA is filed under the name Anaerolineae bacterium. Its description in RNAcentral is "tRNA-Gly". It matches the Rfam family "tRNA". From Rfam's summary of the family: Transfer RNA (tRNA) molecules are approximately 80 nucleotides in length. Their secondary structure includes four short double-helical elements and three loops (D, anti-codon, and T loops). Further hydrogen bonds mediate the characteristic L-shaped molecular structure. tRNAs have two regions of fundamental functional importance: the anti-codon, which is responsible for specific mRNA codon recognition, and the 3' end, to which the tRNAs corresponding amino acid is attached (by aminoacyl-tRNA synthetases). tRNAs cope with the degeneracy of the genetic code in two manners: having more than one tRNA (with a specific anti-codon) for a particular amino acid; and 'wobble' base-pairing, i.e. permitting non-standard base-pairing at the 3rd anti-codon position. The record is from RNAcentral. Lineage: Bacteria; Bacillati; Chloroflexota; Anaerolineae.
GCGGGUGUGGUGUAACGGUAGCAUACGACCCUUCCAAGGUCUUGGCGUCAGUUCGAGUCUGAUCACCCGCU